Molecule: ribosomal RNA, 433 nt
Filed under: uncultured bacterium
Lineage: Bacteria
Description: partial 16S ribosomal RNA
Rfam family: Bacterial small subunit ribosomal RNA
Source: RNAcentral
AACGAACGCUGGCGGCAUGCCUAACACAUGCAAGUCGAACGAGACCUUCGGGUCUAGUGGCGCACGGGUGCGUAACGCGUGGGAACCUGCCCUUAGGUUCGGAAUCACUCCCUGAAAGGGGUGCUAAUACCGGAUAAUGUCUCCGGACCAAAGUUUUAUCGCCUUUGGAUGGGCGCGCGUUGGAUUAGCUAGCUGGUAGGGUAAAAGCCUACCAAGGCGACGAGCCAUAGCUGGUCUGAGAAGAUGAUCAGCCAUACUGGGACUGAGACACGGCCCAGACUCCUACGGGAGGCAGCAGUGCUGAAUAUUGGACGAUGGGCGAAUGCAGAAUCCAGCAAUGCCGCGUGAGUGAUGUAGGCCUUAGGGUUGGAAAGCUCUUUUACACGGGAUGAUAAUGACAGUACCGGGAGAAUAAGCUCCGGCUAACUACGUG